GAUAUCACGCCGGCGUGAGCGGAUUACUUUGAUGAGGUAAAAAACGAGGGAAAUCCUCUGAUAUCU
Molecule: transfer RNA, 66 nt
Filed under: Pilsbryoconcha exilis
Lineage: Eukaryota; Metazoa; Mollusca; Bivalvia; Unionida; Unionidae
Description: tRNA-Ile
Source: RNAcentral